CUUCACCGAGCCGAGCAGCAGCGGAUUGUCCUCGGGGCGGUCCUUGCCGUACGUGGCGAGCAGUGCCUGGGCCUC
RNAcentral lists this antisense RNA (75 nucleotides) under Streptomyces sp. NRRL S-4. RNAcentral's name for it is "ASpks sRNA". It matches the Rfam family "ASpks TB sRNA". Lineage: Bacteria; Bacillati; Actinomycetota; Actinomycetes; Kitasatosporales; Streptomycetaceae. The record is from RNAcentral.